RNAcentral lists this unclassified non-coding RNA (211 nucleotides) under plant metagenome. RNAcentral describes it as "partial contains small subunit ribosomal RNA and internal transcribed spacer 1". The stretch from base 1 to 46 matches the Rfam family "Eukaryotic small subunit ribosomal RNA", at positions 1786 to 1831 of the family's 1831-position model. The record is from RNAcentral.
AAGUCGUAACAAGGUCUCCGUUGGUGAACCAGCGGAGGGAUCAUUACUGAGUCGUAAAAAACUCCCAAACCCAUUGACUUACCUAUGUUGCUCGGCAGGACCUACCCCGGGACCUACCCUGUAGCUACCUUUGUAGCCCUGCCGGUGGACCAUCUAAACUCUCGUUUUUUUUCAAUGAAAAUCUGAACGUCUUAUUAAAUAAGUCAAAACG